Long non-coding RNA from Homo sapiens (human), 592 nucleotides. Ensembl annotates it as SATB1 antisense RNA 1. Its record names the gene SATB1-AS1. The record is from Ensembl. Lineage: Eukaryota; Metazoa; Chordata; Mammalia; Primates; Hominidae.
GCCUGAACUUUCUCAUCCAACACCCGUUCAAGUCGGAGGAUGCUGAUUAAUUCAUGAUGGAAAGGUAUCAAUUUCACAGCCCAGACCUCUACAUUCUUGAAAUGCUCUUCUCAUGGGAGACAUUAAAUAAGCUUUGAAUUAACUUGCCAUGACACCCAGGAUGCAGCUGUAGGAACACCACUGGGUCCCUGGAUGUCAUGUAAGCCCUUAAGUAAAAGUGCCAUCAAAUGAUUUCUCAGAAAUUAUAAAGAAACAAAAGGACCAUAAACAAGAUAAGGUGGCAUGAGGAAACAUUACAAGUACCUUUCAGAGCUGACUGGCAAAGAAACUCCUGAGGUGACGGUUCUACCCCAAUAUUACUUCUUCGAAGAGCAACCUAACUGGACUUAUCUUCCUCAGUUCUCUGUGAUGAACUUUUGUAGAGCCAUACGAAAGGAGGUUUUUAGCUCUCACCUGUGGUCUUUCUUCAUCAUGCACCUCCUAGAUUCAAAAGUUCAGCAGGGACAUGUCAAGCUAUAUAAAUAAAAACAAACUAAGAAAAAAUGUAACAUUCCAUACCUUAAAACGCAACCUUAAUAACGUGAAAGACCCU